This 478-nucleotide ribosomal RNA is filed under the name uncultured bacterium. RNAcentral describes it as "partial 16S ribosomal RNA". It matches the Rfam family "Bacterial small subunit ribosomal RNA", at positions 28 to 523 of the family's 1533-position model. The record is from RNAcentral.
GACGAACGCUGGCGGCGUGCUUAACACAUGCAAGUCGAACAGUAAGGCCCUUCGGGGUACACGAGUGGCGAACGGGUGAGUAACACGUGGGUGAUCUGCCCUGCACUUCGGGAUAAGCCUGGGAAACUGGGUCUAAUACCGGAUAGGACCACUGCCUGCAUGGGUGGUGGUGGAAAGCUUUUGCGGUGUGGGAUGGGCCCGCGGCCUAUCAGCUUGUUGGUGGGGUGAUGGCCUACCAAGGCGACGACGGGUAGCCGGCCUGAGAGGGUGACCGGCCACACGGGGACUGAGAUACGGCCCAGACUCCUAGGGGAGGCAGCAGUGGGGAAUAUUGCACAAUGGGCGCAAGCCUGAUGCAGCGACGCCGCGUGAGGGAUGACGGCCUUCGGGUUGUAAACCUCUUUCAGCACCGACGAAGCGCAAGUGACGGUAGGUGCAGAAGAAGGACCGGCCAACUACGUGCCAGCAGCCGCCGUAA